UUCUAUAAAUAAGUAUUCAGUGAAAAUCAGAAUAUUGCAAUUAGCAGACAACUCAAAAUACUAUAAUAGCACUGACUUACAAUUAUUAUAUUCUAUUUGUAGUAUGUUUAUUUCAAGAAGAGACUGUCCAGUCGUUGUCGUGACUUUGUGGUUAAAAAAUUAUGAUAGAAAAAAAAAAAAACGGAGGCAUAGAAAUAAUGCAUUUUAUCAAAUGUAUGUAAAAUCAGACAAUGUUAAACGGACAAGCCGGUGAUUUGAGUGACUCGAACACUUGCGGGUGUUUGGGACCUGGAAAGAGCUGUGACCUUACGCUAACUGCUGUGACAUGUAGGCGGAAGCAUUAUACAGGUUUGAAAAGACGUUGAGCACGUACACAGUUGGACGUGUAGACGUGCGUUCUAAUGUCUCAAGGUUAGAACCACAUCGAAUAUAUUCUGUAAAAAUCAUGUUUGUGAGGCUCGUGUGUGUUCGGCGUUUCCACCGUAACCGACUGCUAUCACAACAUGACAUGACCUCUACUGAGCUAACGUCAGGCUGCGAACACAGACAAGGCCGCGGUCGCAAAACACCGCACUUCCAUUAACGCCGCUACGUCUCGCUGGUUCUCUCACCUUCCCGGGGCCUUCGGCAUAGUGUGAAGACCGGACCGCGGAGGUCGCGAACCGCCUGACGGCUUGUCCCAGCAUGAUUAUGCUCCUGUUGCUUCUGUAGCUCAACUCAACACAGCGUCUUGUGCGACCUUCUUGUUCCCGUGAGCGGCAGAGCGGCGCAGAGGAUUGUGGGAAACAAAGUGGCGCUGUAUCGACUGGGAAAUGUAGUUCAAAGGAUACCAAACGCAAAUACAGAUGGAAAGAACAGAUUUUACUUUAUAGAAAGAAUCCAAAUGACAGAUCGCAGACAUAGGUUGAGAUUAGAAAGAUCACAGUAUAAAUAUUCGUGACUGCGAAUAUACUCUUUUUUUAUCCAGGCUGUCGAAACAAAAAUACAUGCGCUUAGAAUAGUUCAAAGCACUGAUAGAUAAUGCUAUUUUGACAAAUGUCUUUGUGUGUAUAUGUUUGUCCUCACAGGUUUUACAUGUGCAUGAUAUUUGCUUAUAUUUGAUAAACCGUCUGCAUUUUUCAUCCAUUGUCACAGAUGCAUCGCUGGUGUGGAAAUAGAGCAUGUAAUGACUUAUGGAGGAGGCCUUCCACAACAUAUGCAGAUUAGGCUUUAUGUCACUGUCAUGGAUGUUUAAUUCAUUAAUUGUUGACAAGGAUUGCUGCAUAGUGAGAAUUUAUUAUGAUGACAUCUAGUUUUUAGCUCUUUCUUAUAUCUGAAGAUUCCCAGGUUAAAACACGUUGCAGCUUUGCCAUUAGGUAUGUGUGUCACUCACUGUGACUGUGUGCAUUGAUUCAUUUGCUAGUCGCCAUCUAUCACUCGUCUCUCGACUUGUUUCCCAUUUGUCAUGUCCAGAUUUUGGCCCACACCAUCUUGUUUUAUUGUCAUGUAUUGCGUUUGUCAUCCUCUUGUGUCUGUUUGCAUUAGCUUCUCUUCAUGCUUCUCUUCAUUGCUCAUUUUGAUUUCUGUCACUCACAAGCAGGAUCUUCUGCUUUGACAUUUAAACACAUUAAAAGUAUAUUAAAAAAUACUUGUGGAAUUGGCAAGCAGCUGGGACUAGCAGGUGCGGAAAGAAAAAUAAAGAUAUAGACCGU
Betta splendens (Siamese fighting fish) is the source of this 1691-nucleotide long non-coding RNA. RefSeq lists it as uncharacterized. The record is from RefSeq and is a predicted model, not a curated record. The transcript is spliced from 2 exons. NCBI's taxonomy places the organism in Eukaryota, Metazoa, Chordata, Actinopteri, Anabantiformes, Osphronemidae.